This 453-nucleotide long non-coding RNA is filed under the name Mus caroli (Ryukyu mouse). RNAcentral describes it as "lncRNA (MGP_CAROLIEiJ_G0004404.1)". The record is from RNAcentral. Lineage: Eukaryota; Metazoa; Chordata; Mammalia; Rodentia; Muridae.
GGGCAAACAGGAGAAACGACAGGGUACCAAAGACUUCCCUGUCAGCUGAAGGGCACCCUGGAUGCAUGUCUCUGAGCCCUCACACUCCUGUAACCUGUGAAGGGUAAGCAAGCAGAACAGGUGAUGGGCCAUGCAUCUUCCUGACGCACUGUGAAGCAGGAAGAGAUGGAACAGUGGCUCUGGGUUACCGGUGAGGAGCGAGAAGCACCAACAUGGUUGCUGUCCUGGAACUCACUAAGCAGGCUGCCUUGGCUUGCCAGGGAAGCCCCAGGAAUCUGCCUGUCUCCAUCGUCAUCUCCUCAGUCCUGGAGUUACAAGUGUGAGCCAACGCAACUGGCCUUUUCGCAUCGGUUCUGGGGAUGGACUCAGAUCCUCAGGCACUUGACUGUCUGAGCUUCUCUCUUCAGACACUUUCUUCCAUAAUUCUUAAAUCAUUAUAAGCAAAACGUUGUU